RNAcentral lists this ribosomal RNA (477 nucleotides) under uncultured bacterium. RNAcentral's name for it is "partial 16S ribosomal RNA". It matches the Rfam family "Bacterial small subunit ribosomal RNA", at positions 28 to 507 of the family's 1533-position model. The record is from RNAcentral.
GAUGAACGCUGGCGGCGUGCCUAAUACAUGCAAGUCGAGCGAAAAGACGAGGAGCUUGCUCGUCGGACGUUAGCGGCGGACGGGUGAGUAACACGUGGAUAACCUACCUAUAAGACUGGGAUAACUUCGGGAAACCGGCGCUAAUACCGGAUAAUAUAUUGAACCGCAUGGUUCAAUGGAAGAAGACGGCUUUGCUGGCAGUUAUGGAUGGAUCCGCGCCGCAUUAGCUAGUUGGUAGGGUAACGGCUUCCGAAGGCUAUGAGGGGUAGCCGACCUGAGAGCGUGACCGGGCACAUGGGGCCUGAGAUACGGCCCAGUCUGCUAUGGGAGGCAGCAGGGGGGAAUAUUGCACAAUGGGCGGAAGCCAGAUGCAGCAACGUCGCGUGCGGGAUGCUGGCCUUCGGGUGGUAAACCGCUUUGGCCGGUGACGAAGCGGGAGUGACGGUAAUUGGUAAAGAAGCACCGGCUAACUACGUG